Molecule: long non-coding RNA, 558 nt
Organism: Candoia aspera
Lineage: Eukaryota; Metazoa; Chordata; Lepidosauria; Squamata; Candoiidae
Exons: 3
Source: RefSeq, a predicted model, not a curated record
CUGGAACUGGCUCUGAGAAAACGUCGCCAAGGAAAGCGGGCUGUUGCCGGAACCAAUUAGGCUCUCGCCAGCAGGCAGAGUUUCAGCCCCUGUUCUUUCCGGCCUGUUCUCUCUGGCCCUUCUGUCUCUUUUUCUCCCCCCCUACCCACCCAUCCACCCCCUCCCUUGGCUUCCCUCUCAAAGCCUUUUCUCUGCUCUUCCUCCCGUUCCUCCCCGCCUCCAGGAUCUCAAUUGCCUCUCCGCGCCUUUCCUUGUCGGAGCUUGUUUUGGGCAACGCGGAGUUAUUACUUUGCCAUGCCUUGAGCUACACAGCUAAGACAUUUGCAGAAUCACUGAAGAAAGAGACGAGGGAUUUAGGUCAAGCACUCAAAUCUUAUAGCCCAGAGUUCCUGAACCUGGUACCCACCAGAUGUCCUAGAACACGCCAUUCGGAACUAGGAAUUUUAUGGGGACUACCUUGGGAGAUGCCACCUGGGAGAAAAUGGUGACCAUCCCAUCUCACUGCCAGCCUUCCUCCAUACCACUUGAUCUGGGGAAUAAAUGAAGCCACAGCAGUUA